GCCAGAGUGGUGAAACUGGUAUACACGCACGACUCAAAAUCGUGUGCCGCAAGGCAUGUGGGUUCGACUCCCACCUCUGGCACCA
Molecule: transfer RNA, 85 nt
Filed under: bacterium
Lineage: Bacteria
Description: tRNA-Leu
Rfam family: tRNA
About the family: Transfer RNA (tRNA) molecules are approximately 80 nucleotides in length. Their secondary structure includes four short double-helical elements and three loops (D, anti-codon, and T loops). Further hydrogen bonds mediate the characteristic L-shaped molecular structure. tRNAs have two regions of fundamental functional importance: the anti-codon, which is responsible for specific mRNA codon recognition, and the 3' end, to which the tRNAs corresponding amino acid is attached (by aminoacyl-tRNA synthetases). tRNAs cope with the degeneracy of the genetic code in two manners: having more than one tRNA (with a specific anti-codon) for a particular amino acid; and 'wobble' base-pairing, i.e. permitting non-standard base-pairing at the 3rd anti-codon position.
Source: RNAcentral